CCCCUUCCCUGUUAGGUGGGCUGUUUUCAUUAUCAUUUGCUUGUUUAUUGAUUGGUGACAUGGCCAGUCUAUUUUAAUGAAGUCUAUUUCCCUGCAGUGUCUCUCCUAAGUAAGGCACAGCUUUGGACAUUCAUAGUUACUUGGGACAACAGUUUUAGCAGGGCUCUCUUUCUCCUUUCCUGAUCUCUCUGUUAAGCUGCCUGGCUCAUUUGAUAUCACAUCCAAAUUAUCAGCUGAUUGCUCUAUUGUUUUGGACAAUGCCCUGAAGCAUACCAAAAUGUGUCUGGAAUUGGUGGGUUCUUGGUCUUACUGACUUUAAGAAUGAAGUUGCGGACUUUUGCGAUGUGUGAACCUCCAGAACUGUGAAAUAAACAACCUCAGUCAACAUCAAGCAGAAUUCAAAGAAGUCUAAAGUCUUAAUAAUUGUCUGUUCAGUCUGGGAGGAAAGGACUAAAAUGGCAUGAAUCCAGGUGAUCCACCCUACCACAUAUUGUCUCCUAAUGGCCGUCCAGUUUAUCCUGGAGCCCUUGCAUGACACAGGCCUAUCGAAGCAUAGGAGAUGCCAAUAUUUUACCUCUUGGGUACUUUCUGUGUAGAAGAUUCAUAACAAGAACAAUACUUAUUCUGCAAUUCUUUAUAUAAAGCUAAAAGAAAAUGCAUUCUGCCAACAACUAAUGAGCUUGGAAGAGAACUCCAAACCCCAGAAGAGGCCUGUCACAUUGGCUAACACCUUGAUUUCCACCCACUGAGACCUUGAGCAGAGACUUCAGUUACACCCCACCCAGACUUCUGACCUGCAAAACUGUGAGCUAAUACAUGGAUGGUGUUUCAAGCUUCUGUUUGUAAAAUAUUGUUCCCCAGCAAUAGAAAAGUAAUACAUUUAUCUAAAAUCCUAUUGUUGAUAAAUGAGAGUCCAAGAUCUCCUAAGACUUAAAACAAGUCUUUUAUCUCCUGCUAGAGACAGAGAUAACAAACAGUGAUUUAAGAAUGCAUUUGAUCAAGCACCAAGGUAUAUAAUCAAGGUAUAGAUGCCCAUUGGGUGAGGAACACCCAAACUACUAUUCUUUAAUCAAUAAGAGAAGGUAAAAACUGAGAUUUAUAAUUGGUCAAACAUUAAUUCUGAAUAAAAGAAAACUAUUUCAGAGAAAGUGGAAUGUAUCUCCCACUAAAUUGCAUGGCUAGGAGUUAAAAAAAAAGGAAGCUACUCCUCCAACAUUUUAGCCUUUCAAAUCUGGUGGUACCAGCUAGAAACUAACAGGGGAUAUUUG
RNAcentral lists this long non-coding RNA (1268 nucleotides) under Homo sapiens (human). RNAcentral's name for it is "HSALNT0204032". Lineage: Eukaryota; Metazoa; Chordata; Mammalia; Primates; Hominidae. The record is from RNAcentral.